UGCAUGAUACAAUUCGGGGAUGGUGGAAGUUUCCUUAUCCACAACUGCGGUCAAUAUCUGGAUGUUGAUAAACGAGAAUAGAAAUUGAAUUUCACGCGCUAGCUUCAAAACCGAUCAUAGCUUCACUAUAAUUUAAUCAGAAUGAUUUUCUUGCAGAUUAGAACUCACCUUUGUGAUACCAGCGAUGGGUAGCGGUUGACAAACUCCUAUAGCUUUCCACGCUGUUGCAGCGUAAUAGAGAUUCUCAGGCGUCAUUGAGCUUCCAUCUCCGACAGUAGCUAGCAAGAAUUUGCAGGCUUCCUAAACAACAUUGGCAUGAUCAAGAUUGGUCGGUAGAUUGACUCCAGCGACAUGGAAAUGAAAUUUUAGUUUUCUACUUACGGCAUUCUUUGGUAUGGCAUCACCAAGGAGCUUAUAGCUCACAGCGGCAUAAUGCAAGGCAGGUAGAUCAGAGAGCUGGAAACCAGGUUCUACUACUUUUUUCAAACGAGUUUUGUCAGCCACCGAUAAAUAAGAACUCGUCGAAGAAGAAAAUGGAGUUGCACCCAGAGCUACGCAUAGAAGCGCAGAGGCAAAUAGCGGCCAAAUUGCUGUUGAGAAUAAGCGGAGUCCACGUGUCUUGGAAAAAUUGGUCCUAACUAGAAGCGUGGAGAUGCGUUUGUACGAUUCGUCCGUUGUUCGUACUCGAAAAACCUCUUGAAAGAAGAAAAUCUAAUACGUAGGACCGACCGCGGUAAUUAUUAUUCGAAUGUUGAAAGUCGUUUGAUAGAAAACGACCGGCGUUUUUGGAAUACAAUGGAGGGUGCAAAAUGGUCCAAAUAACCCGAGGAAUGUCGAGUACCGAGGGUAUUUUGAUCCAGUUAAUUGCAGGUUUUCUUGAGUUGCACUUUGCCAAAUUUCUUU
Athalia rosae (coleseed sawfly) is the source of this 903-nucleotide long non-coding RNA. RefSeq lists it as uncharacterized. The record is from RefSeq and is a predicted model, not a curated record. NCBI's taxonomy places the organism in Eukaryota, Metazoa, Arthropoda, Insecta, Hymenoptera, Athaliidae. The transcript is spliced from 3 exons.